Molecule: long non-coding RNA, 157 nt
Organism: Boleophthalmus pectinirostris (great blue-spotted mudskipper)
Lineage: Eukaryota; Metazoa; Chordata; Actinopteri; Gobiiformes; Gobiidae
Exons: 3
Source: RefSeq, a predicted model, not a curated record
UGAAGACCAUCUUGCUGGUCGAAAUACGUUGGCGUCCCUUCAUGUAAUAAAGGACUUUUAAUAUAUUCAGUCGGAGUGCCUCAGACCCAGUGAAGCGCUCUACCUCUCUUGCUUCAUCCAACAAUUCCAGCUACUAUUUCUCACUCUGCUAACUCCC